RNAcentral lists this small RNA (132 nucleotides) under Escherichia coli. RNAcentral describes it as "RtT sRNA". It matches the Rfam family "RtT RNA". From Rfam's summary of the family: This family represents a bacterial cis-regulatory element known as RtT RNA. The exact function of RtT is unknown although it is thought that it may be involved in changing the cellular response in relation to amino acid starvation. Lineage: Bacteria; Pseudomonadati; Pseudomonadota; Gammaproteobacteria; Enterobacterales; Enterobacteriaceae. The record is from RNAcentral.
AUUCUGCUCAUGCGGGGAAGGAUGAGAAGCUUCGACUAAGGUUCGGCUCGAGCGUCAGCGAGAGAGCGUUGCCGCAGGCAACGACCCGAAGGGCGAAGCGCGCAGCGCUGAGUAAUCCUUCCCCCACCACCA